Molecule: long non-coding RNA, 729 nt
Filed under: Dasypus novemcinctus (nine-banded armadillo)
Lineage: Eukaryota; Metazoa; Chordata; Mammalia; Cingulata; Dasypodidae
Description: lncRNA (ENSDNOG00000050197.1)
Source: RNAcentral
GGCCAUGCUCCCUGUCUCCACUGAGAAGCUCCGAGAAGCCUCUGCCUGUGCCUUCGGGCACCAUCUCUCUCACCCAGGGCGCUGCUCCCCUCUGGUCCUGCAGGGGGGGUGACCCCCUCUUGCCCUUCCGGAGCCUUCUAGACCCCUCCCCUCCACGGGCCUACAGGUCUGUUUGGAAAAAUCCAUCCAGAGGAGCGUAAGGGCGGCUGCAGGGUCUGGGUCACACCCUUCAGCUCUGGAGGUGUCCCCUAGGCAGGUGGCUGUUAAACUUUAAGCCACCCCAGGCUAUUUUAGCCUCGCCCGGCUGGCGCGGCUGGAGCCCAGAGCUCAGGCUGGUUUUGAUCUUCUCUUUGCCGUCACCGUCACCCCCCUGCGAGCACACAGCCCUUUCCGCGCGAUAAUGCGGAAAUGCAAAUACACUGUCAUUUUGUGACCUAUAUUGCGAAAAUUAGAAAAAAAAAGGAAGUUCUGUUUUGCUGUCGCAUGAAGUUGGGGCCCAGAGGAGAACGGCGUGCAUUGAGGAGGCCGCUUGCCUUCACGCCCCUGCCCUGCGCCGAUGUCCCACUGACCUCCACCCCCGUCCCAAGGCAUGUGGCCAUCCCCGGAGCCUGAGCCGCCCGCCAUGUUCCCAGCCGACAGGACGGAGGAGACCCCCAGGCAAGUGUUUACGUUUUUCCUCGCUUAAAAAAAUGCCGCGCAAUGGGUUGACUUCAGCAAUGGGAAUUCCCU